This 312-nucleotide long non-coding RNA is filed under the name Elaeis guineensis (African oil palm). Its description in RNAcentral is "long non-coding RNA (EGUI_LNC042386)". The record is from RNAcentral. Lineage: Eukaryota; Viridiplantae; Streptophyta; Magnoliopsida; Arecales; Arecaceae.
AUGGCUUAGGUGGUAGUGCCACAACCGAUGAGCCCCCUUCUGGUCCAACGCUGUUGCUGUUGCAUUAGAUUCUCCAGUCACCACAGAUCCUUCCUGCUGCUUCUACUCUUCCGAGACUUUGACCGUCCCCUUGACUUGCCUCUUUCUCUUUCUCUUUCUGAUCUCUCCCCCACGGCCAAGCCAUCCUGGGGAGCACCUUCCUUGGUCAACUUCUCCCACUGUUUAUUGGACCGCAGCAUCGAAACCAUGUCUUCAUACUCCAGGGUCUCCUUACCGUAAAGCAGUGUCAUCACCAAUGGAUCAUAGGAAGGG